This 460-nucleotide ribosomal RNA is filed under the name uncultured bacterium. RNAcentral's name for it is "partial 16S ribosomal RNA". It matches the Rfam family "Bacterial small subunit ribosomal RNA", at positions 338 to 795 of the family's 1533-position model. The record is from RNAcentral.
CCUACGGGAGGCAGCAGUGAGGAAUAUUGGUCAAUGGGCGCGAGCCUGAACCAGCCAAGUCGCGUGAGGGAAGACGGCCCUACGGGUUGUAAACCUCUUUUGCCGGGGAGCAACGGGCGCCACGUGUGGCGCCACUGAGAGUACCCGGAGAAAAAGAAUCGGCUACCUCCGUGCCAGCAGCCGCGGUAAUACGGGGGAUGCGAGCGUUAUCCGGAUUUAUCGGGUGUAACGGGUGCGUAGGCGGAGCGUUAAGUCAGUGGUCAAAUUGAGGGGCUCAACCCCUUCCCGCCAUUGAAACUGGCGCUCUUGAGUGGAAGAGAAGUAUGCGGAACGCGUGGUGUAGCGGUGAAAUGCAGAGAUAUCACGCAGAACCCCGAUUGCGAAGGCAGCAUGCCGGCUUCCUACUGACGCUGAAGCACGAAAGCGUGGGGAUCGAACAGGAUUAGAUACCCGUGUAGUC